RNAcentral lists this ribosomal RNA (427 nucleotides) under uncultured bacterium. Its description in RNAcentral is "partial 16S ribosomal RNA". It matches the Rfam family "Bacterial small subunit ribosomal RNA", at positions 355 to 774 of the family's 1533-position model. The record is from RNAcentral.
UGGGGAAUAUUGCACAAUGGGCGCAAGCCUGAUGCAGCCAUGCCGCGUGUAUGAAGAAGGCCUUCGGGUUGUAAAGUACUUUCAGCGGGGAGGAAGGCGAUAAGGUUAAUAACCUUGUCGAUUGACGUUACCCGCAGAAGAAGCACCGGCUAACUCCGUGCCAGCAGCCGCGGUAAUACGGAGGGUGCAAGCGUUAAUCGGAAUUACUGGGCGUAAAGCGCACGCAGGCGGUCUGUCAAGUCGGAUGUGAAAUCCCCGGGCUCAACCUGGGAACUGCAUUCGAAACUGGCAGGCUAGAGUCUUGUAGAGGGGGGUAGAAUUCCAGGUGUAGCGGUGAAAUGCGUAGAGAUCUGGAGGAAUACCGGUGGCGAAGGCGGCCCCCUGGACAAAGACUGACGCUCAAGUGCGAAAGCGUGGGGAGCAAACA